RNAcentral lists this ribosomal RNA (468 nucleotides) under uncultured bacterium. RNAcentral describes it as "partial 16S ribosomal RNA". It matches the Rfam family "Bacterial small subunit ribosomal RNA", at positions 28 to 507 of the family's 1533-position model. The record is from RNAcentral.
GACGAACGCUGGCGGCGUGCUUAACACAUGCAAGUCGAACGGUGAAGCUCCAUCUUUCUGGCGUGGAGCAGAGCCGAGCGGGGGAGUAACACGUGAGCAACCUGCCCCUGACUCUGGGAGAAGCGCUGGAAACGGGAUCUAAUACAGGAUACGAGAACGGUCCACAUGGGCACUUUCUGUAAAGGGUGUCGUUUCGGGAUGCGAGUGCGGUACAUCGGUUUAUUGGUGAGGUGAUGGAUCACCCAGGCGACGACGGGUGGCCGGACUGAGAGGGAGACCGGCCACAAUGGGAUAGAGACACGGGCCAGAGUCCUACGGGAGGCAGCAAUGGGAAAUAGUCCACAAUGGGCGAAAGCCUUAUGCAGCGACGCCGCGUCGGAGAUGACUGUCUUCGGGUUGUAACCCUCUUUCAGCAGGGAAGCAGCGAAAGUGACGGUAACUGCAGAAGAAGAACCGGCUAACUACGUG